This 497-nucleotide long non-coding RNA is filed under the name Ananas comosus (pineapple). RNAcentral's name for it is "long non-coding RNA (ACOM_LNC027875)". The record is from RNAcentral. Lineage: Eukaryota; Viridiplantae; Streptophyta; Magnoliopsida; Poales; Bromeliaceae.
AUAAAUUUUAGAAUGCCUAAUUGUUAAAAUUAAAAGUUGAUAAAUCAUAUUUUAGAUAUUAUAGAAGAUUUUAAAUAUAAAGUUCAUGGCUCAUCAGAUUAUAAGUAUUGCAUUGAAAUUUGAUAUAGAAAUCAAAAUAAAAAAGUAUAGAACUUUUCUGAACUAUAAACCAUUUUGAAUCAAAUAUCCAAUCUUUCAAAAUUUUGUUUUUACUAUCCAACUUAAUAUGUUAGAUUUGAGACAGUCAAUGUCACUUUGACUUCAAAAUUUAAAUGUGCCGUUUAGCUUUACGAAUCAAAUUAGUAUAUUUUAUGCAAUUCUCGCAACGAAAUUUAUUAAUAUAAGUAUUUAGCCUAAAAUCCAUCAUUCUCUCUUUUAUUCACAAUCUACAUCUAAGUGAUCAAUAUUAUAAAAUCAAAAUUUAUAUUAAAUACAUGCAAUCUAAACUAUUUAAAAGUUAUCUGUAAAAAAUUAUAUAUUCUAAAUUUUUAUAAUAA